CUACGGGUGGCUGCAGUGAGGAAUAUUGCACAAUGGGGGGAACCCUGAUGCAGCAACGCCGCGUGGAGGAUGACGCAUUUCGGUGUGUAAACUCCUUUUAUAUGUCAAGAAAAUGACGGUAGCAUAUGAAUAAGCACCGGCUAACUCCGUGCCAGCAGCCGCGGUAAUACGGAGGGUGCAAGCGUUACUCGGAAUCACUGGGCGUAAAGGACGCGUAGGCGGGUUGGAAAGUCAGGUGUGAAAUCCUACAGCUUAACUGUAGAACUGCACUUGAACCUUCUAAUCUAGAGUAUGGGAGGGGGAGAGGGAAUUAGUGGUGUAGGGGUAAAAUCCGUAGAUAUCACUAGGAAUACCUAAAGCGAAGGCGAUCCCCUGGAACAUUACUGACGCUAAGGCGUGAAAGCGUGGGGAGCAAACAGGAUUAGAUACCCCCGUAGUC
Molecule: ribosomal RNA, 439 nt
Filed under: uncultured bacterium
Lineage: Bacteria
Description: partial 16S ribosomal RNA
Rfam family: Bacterial small subunit ribosomal RNA
Source: RNAcentral